CCCUUAGAUGUCCUGGGCCGCACGCGCGCUACACUGACAUGUUCAACAAGCCUCCUAGUUCGACAGGAUUUGGGAAAUCUUUGAACGCAUGUCGUGAUAGGGGUAGAUCAUUGCAAUUAUUGAUCUUGAACGAGGAAUUCCUAGUAAACGCGAGUCAUCAGCUCGCAUUGAUUACGUCCCUGCCCUUUGUACACACCGCCCGUCGCACCUACCGAUUGAAUGUUUCGGUGAAGAUUCCGGAUAGGACUUUUUUGAUUUAUUUCAAUUUUGUCUUAAAAGCUAUCUAAACCUCAACAUUUAGAGGAAGGUGAAGUCGUAACA
Molecule: ribosomal RNA, 321 nt
Filed under: uncultured eukaryote
Lineage: Eukaryota
Description: partial 18S ribosomal RNA
Rfam family: Eukaryotic small subunit ribosomal RNA
Source: RNAcentral